This 693-nucleotide ribosomal RNA is filed under the name uncultured bacterium. Its description in RNAcentral is "bacterial SSU rRNA". It matches the Rfam family "Bacterial small subunit ribosomal RNA", at positions 32 to 715 of the family's 1533-position model. The record is from RNAcentral.
AACGCUAGCUACAGGCUUAACACAUGCAAGUCGAGGGGCAGCAUGGGCUUAGCUUGCUAAGUCCGAUGGCGACCGGCGCACGGGUGAGUAACACGUAUCCAACCUGCCGUCUACUCUUGGACAGCCUUCUGAAAGGAAGAUUAAUACAAGAUGGUAUCAUGCGUAAGCAUUUUCACAUGAUUAAAGGGUUUCCGGUAGACGAUGGGGAUGCGUUCCAUUAGAUAGUAGGCGGGGUAACGGCCCACCUAGUCUUCGAUGGAUAGGGGUUCUGAGAGGAAGGUCCCCCACAUUGGAACUGAGACACGGUCCAAACUCCUACGGGAGGCAGCAGUGAGGAAUAUUGGUCAAUGGACGAGAGUCUGAACCAGCCAAGUAGCGUGAAGGAUGACGGCCCUAUGGGUUGUAAACUUCUUUUAUACGGGAAUAAAGUGAGGCACGUGUGCCUUUUUGUAUGUACCGUAUGAAUAAGGAUCGGCUAACUCCGUGCCAGCAGCCGCGGUAAUACGGAGGAUCCGAGCGUUAUCCGGAUUUAUUGGGUUUAAAGGGAGCGUAGAUGGAUGUUUAAGUCAGUUGUGAAAGUUUGCGGCUCAACCGUAAAUUGCAGUUGAUACUGGAUGUCUUGAGUACAGUUGAGGUGGGCGGAAUUCGUGGUGUAGCGGUGAAAUGCUUAGAUAUCACGAAGAACUCCGAUUG